Molecule: ribosomal RNA, 253 nt
Filed under: uncultured bacterium
Lineage: Bacteria
Description: partial 16S ribosomal RNA
Rfam family: Bacterial small subunit ribosomal RNA
Source: RNAcentral
UACAGAGGGUGCAAGCGUUGCUCGGAAUCAUUGGGCGUAAAGGGUAGGUAGGUGGUCUCAUUUGUCUGGGGUGAAAGCCCAGGGCUUAACCCUGGAAGUGCCCCGGAAACGGUGAGACUAGGGUACUGGAGAGGGUCGUGGAAUUCCCGGUGUAGCGGUGAAAUGCGUAGAGAUCGGGAGGAACACCAGAGGCGAAGGCGGCGACCUGGACAGUUACUGACACUCAACUACGAAAGCGUGGGGAGCAAACAGG